GAGACAGAGAAGUCCUGUGAAUGAAUCUGCUGCCUGAUUGGCUGAUUGCUUGAUUGGCUGGGUGAGGCGGUUUAGCAGAAAGCUGUGUGGUGAAGCAGAGGUCAGUGGCACAGAUGAAGUGCUCAGAGACUGAAACCAGCUAGGAAGAAAAUACAGUGUUGGUCUCCUGCAGGAUGGAACAGAAAUGUUAGAGUCGCUGACAAAAGCACGUAAGGCCCAAGUUAAACAGCCAGAAGGACUGGUCCAGAUGGAAUCAGGUAAAGAUGCAGACCACUUAUUAGACUACUUUUUAGUAUUUGGUUGAUCUAAAACAGGAACGGGAGGACAUCAUGAGUUUAAUGUUCCUGCAUGUAGGCCGUACUCAUGUUGCGGUGCGUGGGGGUGGCCACACCUGUCGUGUUAGUAGCAGCAUGUUGCAAACAGCAUGCUCUACAUGUCGGCAGUUACACUAUAUGGCAACCCGAGGUCACAGGCACAUUCUGACCCCUUUCCCAGUACUGGUAAGGCGCUCUGAUCUAUGAGCUGUACUUCUUGUCUGACAGUGGUGAUUGCCCAGGGCUAUAUUAGAAAAGCGGGACGUAGAGGAAAAUAUAAUUUCCCUGUCAGAUUCACUUCAAACAAGUUUCCUAUUACUUCAAUGCAUGUUCAGGCAAAUGGUUAGAUGCCCCACCACUGCUUGCUGCUGAGAGGAGGAAGGCUAUUUCACAUGCUGUGAGUGACACUACACUGCAUUUUAUCCUGCUUGUAGAAUUUAGAUGGUUUCCUGCAUUUGAUUGGCUAUGGGGUGAAUUUAGACCUGCUUAGACCUUUUUAAAAAUGUAUUUGGGCAAACUGGACUGAUACCUUCUUGACCAAUAUCUUUUCCAUCAGAAUUAAAGGCGAGAAGCAGAUCACUGAGACCAAGUAAAUUUCACUUUAAUGGUGGCAGACAUCAUCACUCUGAUUAAAGGCCUCAUCCCUAAACCAAAGCUGGAUUUCCCCAGGGACAUUACCAGAAUCCCUGGAGCCACUUGGGGAUCUGGUGUGUACCAAACUGUGGCUAUUUUUUGCCGGCCUUAAUAGACAAUCAGAGCGAGAGGGCAAAGGACAGAGCAACUCGCCGAGUCCCGGUUUACAGUGAUCCGCGAACAGCGCUCAGGGAGAAGAACAUUUCCAGACAUGAUCCUUCUCUUUGAUUCCCCACUCUGCUUUUUAUCCCUCUUUUUCUUCCUGUUUUCGUCAUCUUCGUCAUCGUCAUCAUCAUCAUCAUUUUCAUCAUCAUCAUCGUCCUCAUCUGGACUAUCGCUUCCAGUCUUCUUAUUCUAACUUCAUAAUUUUCCUCCCUGUUAUCCUCUUCCCUGUUGGUGUGGAUGAUGUUUUGGCUUGGCUGAACUCGAUGAACUGAAGCACUAAGCUGCUUUCCAGCUCACCAAACACAGUUAGUGUUUGCACUGCAGCUCAGCAGCAGACGGGGCCUCAAAUGAAAUGAGGACUGAUGGCCAAAUGUUCUUAGUUUCAUUUUGUUUUCAUGGAGACUUCUUGCAGAAGAAAGCUUAUCUAAGCUGGUUUAGGCCUGUGUUGACUAAAUAUCUGCUUUUAAGCUUAUUGGGAUAUUACGCUGACUUUCCUUAUUAUGUUGGAAAAUGUUUAAUUUUCUUAGUCAAAUGUAAAGUAAUGUCUGACAUUACUCAGUAAGAGCCGGGAAGCCAAACAGCUAAAAAAACGAAUAAAAAAAGGGCGAUUUUGUGUUUUUCAGUAUAUUUAACAGAACUAUUCAACCAUCUUCACUCCACUCCCCAGCUGCCAUCCACCAGCUCACUGGAACCCUUUACUUCACAGAUCUUUGCUUUUGUUUUCUUUGUUUCCCUCCUGGUUUAUUUCCAGAGUUUCCCCUCAGUCACAGUGCCUCGUUAGAAUAUUUAGACCUGGGAUUUUCUGUGAGUGACCGACACACAGCAGUGGAAAACUAUGAAGGAAAAUGAUGACUGACCUAAAGAGUUUUUCACAAACAAAAAGCUGAAAGGUGUUAAGCCAUUUGCAUUCAGCUCAGUGUUGUGGAACCACCUUUCUCUGCAGUUACCGUUUGGAGUCUGUCUCCACCAGCUUUUACGUCUACAGACAUUUUUGCUCUUUCUUCUUUGCAAAAUAGUUCAUGCUCAGCGGGACUGGAAGGAGAGCAACAGUGAACAUUAACGAUCAAGGGAUUAUCAACUAAAUUCAUGCUUUGACUAGGCCGUACUAACAUAUGAAGAUGGUUGGGUGUAACCCAUUGUUUAGGGUUGUUUUCCUGCUGGAAGGUGACCCUCCACCCCAGUCUCAGGUUUCUGCAGCCUCUAACAGGUUUCCUUUCAGGACUGUCCUGUAUGUAGCUCCAACCAUGUCACAGGAAAAGGGGCUGAAUACAUUAGAAGGUCACACUUUUCGGUGCAACACAUUUUCUGUGCCGUUUUGUCACAUACUGUCUUAAAAAGUUUAUAUAAGGUUUGAGGCUUUAUUGUGACAAAAAUUUUCAGGUUUUUCCACAUGUAACCCGGAUAGUAAUAAUAUAAGAGAUGACAAGGAUAAGUUUGUUUAUUAUAUCCUUUUAUUUCCAUUAAAAUUUCAAAGGUCAUACAAAGUUAUCAAAUAAUAUGUUUGCAUUGUUUAAUAUAAGUUCUGUAUUUUGUGGUGAAUUGCCAGUGAAAAUUGUAUUUUCCUACAGAAGUACGGUCAGUGAAGGUAGCACAGGGGAGGAGAAAAGAACCAGAGGAGAGGGCGGAGAGAGACAGGUGAGAGCAGAGGGUGGAGGAGGAAGCAAUUGAGGAAAUAGCCAAGGAGAAGCAGUUAGUGGAGAUAAAAAAGUGAGUAAGCUCAGAACUUGUCGACAGGAGAAGUUUUAAUAAACAGCAUGCAAGGUAGCAGGACCCUGUAGAGUUUCGACAAGAAGCUGUGGUGGGGUGUGCCUGUUUUUUCUUGGUUGCUGUACUUACCUGAGAGUAAGAGCAAAGCUAACCUAGCUGUUCGCUAACUUGGACUGCUGUAAGCUGGUGUUUCGCUGCUAAAGUGGAACGAAAAGGGCUGCAGAGGACUGUUACCGGCUUGGAUAACACAAGACGGACUCCAGAUAGACACUCUGAGUGCCCACUUCGCUCAGAGUACCUCUGGCACCGUGGGAACUGAGGACCAGGAGAUGUGGAGCCCGUAGAGAGCACCUGGAAUCCCAACUGCAUCAUUCCUGAGCUGCUGUUUCAUCUGAUCGCUUUGGAGGUCCAUUUGGGCACAGGGCACAGGUACUGAGUUGCUUUAAUAUUUUUGCUCUUUGAGUGAAGAGGAUUGGGACUGUGGAGUUGGUGGGACUCUUCCAUUUUUUUGAGUAGCUGCUCAGGCCUGCAACGUAGGAGUAGUUUCUGCCGGCAUUAGGUUUAGGUAUACCAUACUGGUUAUAUGAUUGGUGUUUACACUGUAUGUGCAUUCAUUGAUUCAUGAUACGGGUGACAAUAUUCUGUUUUUCUGUUUUGUUUGCAUUCCAAAAACCUGCCAUCUUUUUAUAUUAUUAAUUGUGUCUAAUUAAAGGAGGGUUACUAUGGUCUAUUUACAUGGUGUGUAGUGUAAUUUACUUUAGUAGUGUUCAAUGCUGCUUGAUCCAAAAGCUUUAGAGAUAUUUAAACUAAAUAGUAAGAGGGUAUAGGGAGAUUUAAGAACCCAAACCUCACUUAUCUAUUAUAUACCUUAAGUGAGGGCUACA
Fundulus heteroclitus (mummichog) is the source of this 3703-nucleotide long non-coding RNA. RefSeq lists it as uncharacterized. Lineage: Eukaryota; Metazoa; Chordata; Actinopteri; Cyprinodontiformes; Fundulidae. The transcript has 2 exons. The record is from RefSeq and is a predicted model, not a curated record.